CUGCGAGGUGCUAUUUAAGUAUCUCGCGGAGGCCCUUCGGUCUCAUUUUACCACGGAGUGCGGGUUCAGGCGCACCUUUGAACGCUGGAGAAUGGAGAAGAGCCGACUUGCGUGGAUGCGGUUCGGCUCUAAAGACCCUAGAGGUUUGAGGGUGAGACAAGACCUAUCACGUGAUCCCUGCAAACUAGGCCUCACUGUGAUGUUCCAGCAUCUCAUCACUAGGCCUGAGGAACCCAACCGUCUGCCUGGGUGAAUACAGGUUGUCCUGAUGGUGAUACAUUCAUCUGUUCUACGACUCCAUUCCCAACGUGAGGCUCA
Molecule: long non-coding RNA, 318 nt
Organism: Enhydra lutris kenyoni (northern sea otter)
Lineage: Eukaryota; Metazoa; Chordata; Mammalia; Carnivora; Mustelidae
Exons: 6
Source: RefSeq, a predicted model, not a curated record